GCCUAUACGGGAGCAAUGAGCAAUGUGGACAGCUCGGCGGAGCAUCUUCAAACGGGUCGACAGCAAUGCUUCAUACUCCAGAUGGAAGCAAUUCUCAUCAGACAUCGUUUCCUUCGGAGUGAGCUUUUUCAUAAUUAUUUUUUGGAGAUUUAAUUAAUAUUGAAACAUUUUAAAGAAGAAGUUCAGCUUUUGUGUUUUCUGAUCAAUUUCUAUUAAUUUUCUACUUUUAUUUACAUUGAAAUUAUCAGAAAGACUUGACAUUUUAGCAUCUUAAAAUCCUUUUCAAAAAAUCAAAAAAAAUGCGCGAAAAUUUGAAUUUCAAAGUAAUUUCAAGCGAUUUUUUAAACAUUUUUAACGGAACUUUUCAAUUUUCAAUUAUUUCUCUAAAACUUUUAAACGAGAUUUUAUUCUUGAAUUUAAAAAAAUUAAAACCCUAUAAGACUCUCUCUUAUCUGAAAACUUAUCACUAUACUUAUUCCUGUACCAGUUGGUUUCAUUCGUAUAGGAACGCUUUUUCGUGCUUUCGCAACACAUAUACUCGCUCCUUGAUAAAAAAUUUUAAAGCAACCAGCUCUCUUAUCACUUGACAGCGGCCAGUGACAUUUUUGUGUUUUUGCCCCAGUUCUUCCAAAAAAAAAUAACUAGAAUGGUAUUGUUGGGGCCCAUGUUAGACUAUCAUUUUUCGAGUAUACGGUAGGUUUUUUUGAAAAUAAAAAAAAACAAUUUAGAAAUGCAAAAAUGUUUUUCUAACUUCUUCGAAAGUUUCAGAAUGUCCGAAUCGCCAGACGAUACCGUAUCGGGAAAAAAGACAACGACCAGACGGAACGCUUGGGGAAAUAUGUCAUAUGCUGAACUUAUCACUACAGCCAUUAUGGCUAGUCCAGAGAAACGGUUAACUCUUGCACAAGGUGAGCGUUUUGAGAAAAAUUUUAGUUUUUAGUUUAGAAAAAGGUGUUUUUACGAUUUAAAAAAAUCGAGAAGAAAUGGAGAAUUUUUGAAAAAUUAGCCUUAAAUUUUGGCCUUUUUUCCUUUUUACAAGAAAUUUAUAUUUUUUCUCUCAUAAAAUGUAAAUUCAUAAAUUUUUGAAUUUUAUAAACUUUCGAUUUUCAAUUUUCGGAAUUCUCAAAUAGUUCUGAAAAAAACAAUUUUUUUUGAAAUUUUUGCGGCAAAAAUACGAUACCCGGUCUCGAUGCGACAAUUUUUAUUAAAUGCGAAACAGUGUGCACUUUUAAACUACUGUAAUUUUUUUUUUCGAUAAAAAUUCACUUAUUUAUUGGAAAAAGAUAUGUACAUUUUUAAUAAAAACCAUGAAAAAUCAAUAAAAAUUCGUAAAGUUUUAAACUACAGUACUCUUUGAAGGCGCACACAUUUUAGAAUUUAACAAAACAAUUGUCGUGUCGAGACCUGGUAGUGUACUUUUGGCAUAAAAUUUAAUAUUAGAUUCGUCAAAUUUCAAAGUUCCAACCGCAUAGUACGAACACGAGAUGGCACGGUUUCUCUCGAUCUCUUCAAUUAUCACAGUCUAUCACAAUUUUUAAAUUUUUGCUGAACAUGCAAAUUUUUAGACAUUUGAUACUGAUAGUUUUUGGCAAUUGAAAUAAAAUUUCGUUUCUUUUUUCAGUUUACGAAUGGAUGGUCCAGAAUGUUCCAUACUUCAGGGAUAAGGGAGAUUCGAACAGUUCAGCUGGAUGGAAG
Molecule: small RNA, 1695 nt
Filed under: Caenorhabditis elegans
Lineage: Eukaryota; Metazoa; Nematoda; Chromadorea; Rhabditida; Rhabditidae
Description: Unclassified non-coding RNA R13H8.6
Source: RNAcentral